Molecule: unclassified non-coding RNA, 642 nt
Filed under: Philodendron findens
Lineage: Eukaryota; Viridiplantae; Streptophyta; Magnoliopsida; Alismatales; Araceae
Description: partial external transcribed spacer
Source: RNAcentral
GACCGUGACGGYACGUGAGUGGUGAGAUAACCCAGUGCGCUGGCGGGCUCCCUGCUUAAGUGCGGCCGACCGYGAGUGCGAUGGGRUAUGUUUCGUUCGUGAAAUCCCAAAAUCAUCGGGUCUCCGCACGAUGCGGAGGGCUUAUUCGGUGGGUUGUAUCGGAUAGUCGGAAUGCGGCAACUUGGUGACCCUACGUUAGUAAGAUCAUGUCCUCCUCCUCUCUCUCGYCCGCUCCCCUCGGACGGGCGGGAAGUGAGAAGCGGCCUCUUACGAUGACGUCCCGUGCGUCCUCGGCGGCGCUUGCAGUCGCGCGUGUGCGUACGUGCAGCACGCCUGCUUCGUCCGUCCRUCCAGACCUCGGGACGAUCGAGUGCUUACGGAUGCGGUGAAUUGGAUGGACGGGGGUCGGGUGGGCGCAGCGCAUGCUGUUGUCGACCCGACGAAUGGAAGGUGUUUGCGCACGCCGCGAGCGGGCAAACGAACGGAACGGAACGGAACGRAACGGAACGGAACGGAACGGAAUGAACGACCGCCAACGGGYGAGCAUGCGUCGUCGUCGUCUCGUCUCCGCAGAGGGAGGGAGAGAUGACGGGCUGUGCCGUCCGUGGGCGUCGUCCCGAARGGCUCGCUACCUGGUUGAUC